This 73-nucleotide ribosomal RNA is filed under the name Megasphaera sp. NM10. RNAcentral's name for it is "partial 16S ribosomal RNA". It matches the Rfam family "Bacterial small subunit ribosomal RNA", at positions 1 to 76 of the family's 1533-position model. Lineage: Bacteria; Bacillati; Bacillota; Negativicutes; Veillonellales; Veillonellaceae. The record is from RNAcentral.
AUGGAGAGUUUGAUCCUGGCUCAGGACGAACGCUGGCGGCGUGCUUAACACAUGCAAGUCGAACGAGAAGAGA